AGCAGCCGCGGUAAUUCCAGCUCCAAUAGCGUAUAUUAAAGUUGCUGCAGUUAAAAAGCUCGUAGUUGAAUUUCGGGGUCAAUAUGUUGGUCGUGCCUUGGUACGUACUAGCUUAUUGAUUUCUCCUUUCUGACGAACCAUGAUGUCAUUUAUUUGGUGUCGUGGAAAAUCAGGACUGUUACUUUGAAAAAUUAGAGUGUUUAAAGCAGGCUCACGCUUGAAUACAUUAGCAUGGAAUAAUGAAAUAGGACGUUUGAUUCUAUUUUGUUGGUUUCUAGGAUCGACGUAAUGAUUAAUAGGGAUAG
This 305-nucleotide ribosomal RNA is filed under the name uncultured Glomeromycotina. RNAcentral's name for it is "SSU rRNA". It matches the Rfam family "Eukaryotic small subunit ribosomal RNA", at positions 569 to 881 of the family's 1831-position model. The record is from RNAcentral. Lineage: Eukaryota; Fungi; Glomeromycota.